RNAcentral lists this ribosomal RNA (472 nucleotides) under uncultured bacterium. Its description in RNAcentral is "bacterial SSU rRNA". It matches the Rfam family "Bacterial small subunit ribosomal RNA", at positions 8 to 526 of the family's 1533-position model. The record is from RNAcentral.
AGAGUUUGAUCAUGGCUCAGAUUGAACGCUGGCGGCAUGGCUAAAACAUGCAAGUCGAACGAGCCCGCAAGGGCAAGUGGCGAAAGGGUUAGUAAUACGAUCGAACGUACCCCGAGGUGGAGGAUAGCCGUGGGAAACUGCGGGUAAUACUCCAUGAUCUCUCCGGAGCAAAGCUUUUGCGCCUUGGGAGCGGCGAUCGUCCUAUCAGGUAGUUGGCGGGGUAAAGGCCCACCAAGCCGAAGACGGGUAGCGGGUGUGAGAGCACGGCCCGCAACAUCGGAACUGAGACACUGUCCGGACUCCUACGGGAGGCUGCAGUAACGAAUCUUCCGCAAUGGGCGCAAGCCUGACGGAGCAAUGCCGCGUGCGGGAUGAAGUAUCUAUGGUAUGUAAACCGCUGUCAGGGGAUAAAAACAAUGAUUGUCCCCAGAGGAAGUGGCGACUAACUCUGUGCCAGCCGCCGCGGUAAUAC